UACGUAGGGUGCGAGCGUUGUCCGGAAUUACUGGGCGUAAAGAGCUCGUAGGUGGUUUGUCGCGUUGUUCGUGAAAACCGGGGGCUUAACCCUCGGCGUGCGGGCGAUACGGGCAGACUUGAGUACUGCAGGGGAGACUGGAAUUCCUGGUGUAGCGGUGGAAUGCGCAGAUAUCAGGAGGAACACCGAUGGCGAAGGCAGGUCUCUGGGCCGAUACUGACGCUGAGGAGCGAAAGCGUGGGGAGCGAACAGG
This 253-nucleotide ribosomal RNA is filed under the name uncultured bacterium. RNAcentral describes it as "partial 16S ribosomal RNA". It matches the Rfam family "Bacterial small subunit ribosomal RNA", at positions 524 to 776 of the family's 1533-position model. The record is from RNAcentral.